AGAGUUUGAUCCUGGCUCAGGACGAACGCUGGCGGCGUGCUUAACACAUGCAAGUCAAGGGAAAAUCUGCUUUCGGGCGGAUGGAUACUGGCGAACGGGUGAGUAACGCGUAGAUAAUCUGCCUCUAACUCUGACAUAACAUCGAGAAAUCGUUGCUAAUAUCAGAUAUUGCCGCAAGGUGAAAGGUUUACCGGUUAGAGAUGAGUCUGCGUCUGAUUAGCUAGUUAGUAGGGUAAUGGCCUACCAAGGCAACGAUCAGUAGCUGGUUUGAGAGGAUGAUCAGCCACACUGGAACUGAGACACGGUCCAGACUCCUACGGGAGGCAGCAGUGAGGAAUCUUGCACAAUGGGGGAAACCCUGAUGCAGCGACGCCGUGUGUGGGAUGACAGGGCUUUGCCCCGUAAACCACUGUCAGAUGGGAAGAAAAGAACCCUUAGGGUUCCGGGACUGUACCAUCAGAGGAAGGACCGGCUAACUACGUGCCAGCAGCCGCGGUAAUACGUAGGGUCCAAGCGUUGUCCGGAUUUACUGGGUGUAAAGGGUGCGCAGGCGGGCUUGUGCGCCUGGGGUUAAAGACUUCGGCUCAACCGAAGAAAUGCCUCGGAUACGGCAAGCCUUGAGUACGAGAGAGGAUGGUAGAAUUCCUGGUGUAGCGGUGAAAUGCGUAGAUAUCAGGAGGAAUACCGGUGGCGAAGGCGGCCAUCUGGCUCGUUACUGACGCUCAGGCACGAAAGCAUGGGGAGCAAACAGGAUUAGAUACCCUGGUAGUCCACGCCCUAAACGAUGUAUGCUUGGUGUUGGAUAUGUAUUUAUUCAGUGCCGGAGAAAACUCGUUAAGCAUACCACCUGGGGAGUACGAUCGCAAGGUUGAAACUCAAAGGAAUUGACGGGGGCCCGCACAAGCGGUGGAUUAUGUGGUUUAAUUCGAUGCAACGCGAAGAACCUUACCCGGGCUUGAAGCGCUAGCGACCGCUGCCGAAAGGUAGCUUUCCUUCGGGACGCUAGUAGAGGUGCUGCACGGCUGUCGUCAGCUCGUGCCGUGAGGUGUUGGGUUAAGUCCCGCAACGAGCGCAACCCCUAUCUGUAGUUGUCAUCAGUUCGGCUGGACCCUCUACAGAGACUGCCCACGCAAGUGGUGAGGAAGGUGGGGACGACGUCAAGUCAUCAUGGCCCUUAUGUCCGGGGCUACACACGUAAUACAAUGGAUGGUACAACAGGCGAAGCCGCGAGGUGGAGACAAUCUCUAAAGCCAUCCCUAGUUCGGAUUGAAGUCUGCAACUCGACUUCAUGAAGCUGGAAUCGCUAGUAAUCGCAGAUCAGCGUGCUGCGGUGAAUACGUUCCCGGGCCUUGUACACACCGCCCGUCAAGCCAUGGAAGCUGGGAGCGCCCGAAGUCGGUAGCAAUAUCGCCUAAGGCGAAUUCGGUAACUAGGGCUAAGUCGUAACAAGGUA
This 1453-nucleotide ribosomal RNA is filed under the name metagenome. Its description in RNAcentral is "bacterial SSU rRNA". It matches the Rfam family "Bacterial small subunit ribosomal RNA". The record is from RNAcentral.